This is a long non-coding RNA of Triticum aestivum (bread wheat), 969 nucleotides long. RefSeq lists it as uncharacterized. The record is from RefSeq and is a predicted model, not a curated record. The transcript is spliced from 3 exons. NCBI's taxonomy places the organism in Eukaryota, Viridiplantae, Streptophyta, Magnoliopsida, Poales, Poaceae.
CAAAAAGUGUGGCGCUCGUUUCGCCCGCCACACUCGCCGCGGCGCGCCAACUGAGCCGCAAAAAUCCCCGCGAAAGAUAAAAGUCACCGCUUUCCUGUUCGUCUUCAGUCCAAAAAUCCCCCACCCCUUCAGUCUUGACCCCAUGGCUGAGAGCCCUUCUCUCUCCCCUUCCAGAUCCAGCUGAGGAAGUCCUUGCCGCCGCACUCGAUCUGCUCCUCCUGAUCUGGGCGUCCUUGAUUUUCUCAAGAGAAAAAUAUCAACUUUCUUCUGUGAUUUGUGGGAUUUCCCGUUGCUUGUUCCUGUCCUUGUUGCAUCCAGACUAGGAACUUCCAUCUCAUAGUGAAAGGUCAACUAUUUGUUAAGAGGAAAGGUGGUGAUAAUUCAUCAUCUAGCACUACCCGAGUUGGUAAGAAGCGCCCAAAAGGUAGCAGGUCACCUACUAAGAAGCCACCAAAAACCAAGAGUCGUUUUGUGGAGUCCGCUGAAGAAAUCAACUCUACAUUGAGGUCACUCCAGCAAUCCCUUGCUGCCGUUCCUCCUCCAAUGCCCCAAGUUGUUGAUCCUUAUGCUAGUUUAUGGAAGAGGUUGGAGGAACUCCCAAUUACCACAGAUCAAAGAAUUACUGUUGGUGUGCACUUAUCUUGCAAGGACAAUGAAGGUUUGCGUGGUUGGUUAUGCAGUGCAAGUGACAAAAUUUUUGAAACUUGGGUUUGCAAGUUCUUUGCUGACAAAGAUCAUGUUUAUAGCAACCUGUGAAGUUAUCUAGUUGCUAACUUGUCAUGUCUAGAAGUUGGCAACUUGUGAAGUUUAGAAGAUGGCAACUUUUGGUAUUUAGGAGAUGAACUUGUGCUACGGCUACUGCUUUUGGAAAGUAGAUCUUUUGAUGUGUGGUGAAACACUUUAAUGUAACUUGGCCAGAACUUGUGCUAUUGCUAUGACUAUCACUUGACUUUAUAAUGAUGGACGGAA